UGAGAAUAAAAUUGUCUUCUUGUAGAAAGUCACUGGACUCCCUGUAAGGGCCUCCUGAUUUCAGGAAAAUAAGGAUAGUUAAAUUGCUUCAGAUAUAAUUCACACCUGUUGAAGUACCAUUACAACUGGAUUUUAUAUUCCGCUCUUCUGAGUAUUUUGUUGUGUGUCCUGGCAUCACAGAAGGGCAGCAAGUUUCUUCGGGGCUACACAAGAGUAUGAAAUCCCCUUGCUGUAACCACAAAUGAGAGAGACAGGCCUCUGCUGUGGGUCUUUCCCUUUGAAAGAAAAAUACCAAGAGCAGGCACUUCACAGAUGUCAGCUGCCACCGUCAUCCCUCCUACCAAAAAGCCUCCUCCUCAAACAGCAAGGCUCACUCCUGUUCUGUGGCACCUCUCUGAAGAGGAUAGUGAUUGCCAAAUACAGAUGAAAACAUGCAGCACUAGCACUGAUAAUCCCUGACCAUGCCUUGUAGAAUAUGACCACCUGACUUUGCUAAACUCAGAUACUGUUACAAGAUUGAGUCAUUCUCCAAUUGCCUUUUAAUUUUUUUUCUUGCAUUUACUUGUGUGACAGUUAAAAAUUCAAUAUUUAACACUAUACAGCAAGGGCACACAGUUUUUGUGUACAAUUCUCGCACUUUCAGAGACUAACAUCUCACAGUUCAGCUACUCUGAAAGGCCUCUGAACUCACAAGGAACGUAAAGUUACGGAAAUAUGCAUUAGAGGUACAAAAGUUUGUACUUUUGAUUGAGAAUGCUUUUGACAAGAUUGAACAUAGCAAAACGCUAUUCAUUCCUGAAGAAUGUUCAAUCACAAGACUAUAAAGUUUAUGUGUAAACUGUAUUAAAAUAAAAAAGCUGCAUUAAAUAUAAAUCAUGAAA
Molecule: long non-coding RNA, 881 nt
Organism: Rhea pennata
Lineage: Eukaryota; Metazoa; Chordata; Aves; Rheiformes; Rheidae
Exons: 3
Source: RefSeq, a predicted model, not a curated record